RNAcentral lists this ribosomal RNA (880 nucleotides) under uncultured bacterium. RNAcentral's name for it is "bacterial SSU rRNA". It matches the Rfam family "Bacterial small subunit ribosomal RNA", at positions 44 to 916 of the family's 1533-position model. The record is from RNAcentral.
AUGCUUUACACAUGCAAGUCGAACGGCAGCACGGGAGCUUGCUCCUGGUGGCGAGUGGCGAACGGGUGAGUAAUGCGUCGGAACGUACCGAGUAAUGGGGGAUAACGCACCGAAAGGUGUGCUAAUACCGCAUACGCCCUGAGGGGGAAAGUGGGGGAUCGCAAGACCUCACGUUAUUCGAGCGGCCGACGUCUGAUUAGCUAGUUGGUGGGGUAAUGGCUCACCAAGGCGACGAUCAGUAGCGGGUCUGAGAGGAUGAUCCGCCACACUGGGACUGAGACACGGCCCAGACUCCUACGGGAGGCAGCAGUGGGGAAUUUUGGACAAUGGGGGCAACCCUGAUCCAGCCAUUCCGCGUGAGUGAAGAAGGCCUUCGGGUUGUAAAGCUCUUUCAGCUGGAACGAAACGGUACGCUCUAACAUAGUGUGCUACUGACGGUACCAGCAGAAGAAGCACCGGCUAACUACGUGCCAGCAGCCGCGGUAAUACGUAGGGUGCGAGCGUUAAUCGGAAUUACUGGGCGUAAAGCGUGCGCAGGCGGAUUGUUAAGCAAGACGUGAAAUCCCCGGGCUUAACCUGGGAAUGGCGUUUUGAACUGGCAGUCUAGAGUGUGUCAGAGGGGGGUGGAAUUCCACGUGUAGCAGUGAAAUGCGUAGAGAUGUGGAGGAACACCGAUGGCGAAGGCAGCCCCCUGGGAUAACACUGACGCUCAUGUACGAAAGCGUGGGUAGCAAACAGGAUUAGAUACCCUGGUAGUCCACGCCCUAAACGAUGUCAACUGGUUGUUGGGGGAGUGAAAUCCCUUAGUAACGAAGCUAACGCGUGAAGUUGACCGCCUGGGGAGUACGGUCGCAAGAUUAAAACUCAAAUGAAUUGACGG